Dromaius novaehollandiae (emu) is the source of this 5401-nucleotide long non-coding RNA. RefSeq lists it as uncharacterized. The record is from RefSeq and is a predicted model, not a curated record. NCBI's taxonomy places the organism in Eukaryota, Metazoa, Chordata, Aves, Casuariiformes, Dromaiidae. The transcript is spliced from 3 exons.
GGGCGCGGCCGCCCCCCCCGCGGCUCGUCCGUCGCCUCCAAGCGCGCGCUGCGGGCGGAGGCCGCGGCAUGUGGGGGCGGGCUGCCAUGAGCGACCCACAGACAGAGGGUUUGGAAACAGCCGGCAGCUGCGCCUCACCUCGGCGCGGCUUUAAAAAGCUGCGAGAAGCUGCUGCCGGGGGGUUGCGCCCCCCGCGCCGGCGCCGCGGGGCUUUCCGCUUUCCUCAGGAGCCGGCGGAGCCGGGCAGCGCGACCCGGCCUCGGUGGCCGCCGGGCGGGCAGAGCCAGGGCGAAGUGAGGUCCUUCGGGCCCCGAGGGGUGGCUUUUCCGCCCAGGCAGCCGCGCCCCGCUUCAGGAACAAAACAGGGAUGUAAGAUGUGAACAAAAAGGUACAAGAAAUUGUCAGCUGCUGCCAGGAGGCACCCUUUCUCUGAUCCGCUGUACCCGUACUCCAGGUUUCUCCUGCUGUUGUGUUAUACCUGAAAACACUCAGCUACCCAAGAGCCUGGGACCAAAGGAAUCACUACUGGGACCAGAAUGUGAAUUGAGCAAGAAAAAUCACACCACCAGCCCCUGAAGCAUGCAUAAGUGUUUGAAUGCCGCUUUGUUGUUGUUGAGACUGGAGUGAAAGAACAUAAGGAAAAACAAACAGCAAAAACUAGAUUCCCUGAGGAGUUAAUUCAGCUGUGAGAUUUCCUGUUGCCCCGGCUCUCAAGCGUGCUGGAAAUGAGAGCAGCUGUUCUUGUUGAGGUCCUGCUAUUAGUCCUGCUAAAAGUCAGAUCCUGACCAUUAUUUCAGAGUUUUGGAACACUUGGCAUGAUGGCUGAGCAAAGAUCCAUGAUGCAGAAAAGUGCCCUUGCAUCCAUUUUCUCGGGACCUGUCUUGCCUAUAUUUACAGGCCGAUAUAGAAACGGCACCUAUGCUUUUGGGACGCUACUGCUCAGAGCUGGUAUCAAAAGAAAUUGGGAUUGGAGGGGUACUGCGCUGGAAAGAAUUGGGAUCCCUGUGACUCCUCUCCCUCCCUUCACACUUUUUGCAGCAUCAGCUACAUAGCUCAGAAGUACUGAAGGACGAAGUCAUUCUUUGCCCUUUACCUUCUCCCUCCUGCACAUAGCUCCAAGAGGAAAGGCAGUCAGAUGGCAUCUUGUACUUCAGAAUAGUGCCCUACUGGUCCAGAAGACAGCUUCUUACCCCAUUUUCUCUUCAUGCCUAAGGUCAGCCAUAACCUGAUCUACAGUAUACUGAGGUGCCAUUGUACUGAAAGACUAAUUCUGAUUUGGCAGGUGAGAUAAGGAGAUGCUAUGAAUAAUAAAGAACCCUAGACCUGAUCUCAUAAUAAAGUAGCUGACAAAUAUACGUAGAGAAAAAUCACAAGAUUUGCAGCAAAAAAUGAAGAAGGAGGAUGUCUUGAUAUUUCUCCUAAAUAGAAAAGAGAUUUGAGAAUCACUGCAUCAGAUCCCUGAAAUCUUAGGUCCUGUGUGCCAUGAUGGCCGACAACAAGGAGAACAAACUUCACGUAUGGUACGCAGCUGCAGAAACAUGAUACAGAUCCACAGAGGUGGUCCUGGGAUUGCCUUAGGCACCGCUUAGCAAAAUACAUACACUCUUGUCCCCUAUUUUACAAGAAACAUACUGCUCUUGACGUACCGAGCAGAACAACUCAACAGCCAGGUUUGCAAGGGGAUCCAGCUGCGUGAAGAUGAAGAGUUUUUGUUUUUAAUGCAUAGAAAAUGCUGAUGGGGACAUUAGCAUAGGGUAGGAAGGCCCAAGGAUGAAGAAUGGUGGGGAAAGAAAAGCAAAUUCACAGUAAAAAUUAGGCAGUUUAAAAAAAGUUAUUAGAAGAAACUGCUAAGGUGGAUGGUGGGUUCUCCACUUCUUCAAGUCCUCAAGUCAGCACCAGAUGUGUUUGCUGUGGUCAAGUGCAAGUUACUGAGCUCAGGAAUGGAGUAAAUGGAUUAAAUGUUGCUGACAGUGCCACAAGGAAACUCGGACUAGAAAAUCUCUUUUGGACUGAAAUCUACAGAAUAAGAAUUGCAUGGAGAUAUUAUUGAUCCAAUAACUGUAAACAAAGAAUAAUAUUAGCAUAUUCUUGAACAACCGCCAACUGAACAUAAGAUGAAUUCAUCAUGUCUUAUUUGCUACUUAGACAUUAGAAAUAAUAAAUAACAAAAGGCAGUAAUAUUUUAGCUUCUGAUUAUCAUUUACUCAAGGACCUAAGAGUACAUUCACAUACCAGUGGUUCCAUGAAUACUGUUGGGUGGUUUUGAUCCAAAGCCCAGUGAAGUCAAUGGGAAGAUUCUCCUUUUUUGAAGAAUUUCACGUCCAAUUUUCAUGUCUAAUAUGAGUAAAUACAAAAAGUCACAGAACAAGUAGCAGAGCCAGAAACUGUAUGACAGUCCUUGGUGUAGUGGUUGAACCAUUAGAUAUAUUGCAUUAAUCUGGGACGUCUUGUUCCUGGAACAGCCUAACUGAGUGCAGUAAGUAACAAGGCAGGAAUCAGUUCAUUUUUUGGGUGGCCCUUUAUGCUAACUGGAGACAGUGUUCAGAAGAAGCCUAGUCUCAAACAGAAACAAUGUCGGAUUCAUAUGCUCAAAUGUAAAUGCGAAAGAUUUUUGCUUUUGCCAUGAAGUGACUGCUGAACUGUUCAGUGCUCUGUUAGUCUGCUCCUACUUGUCUCUGGCUUUUCCCUACAGGGAAAUUUCCUGACGGUUGGCUUGACUGGCAGCUGCCAAAUGCCACAGUACAGUGAGGAGCAAACCAACAUGGCACAGAUAUUUCCGCUGGACCUUACAUUGUAAAAAAAAAAAAAAAAAAAAAAAAAAAAAAAAAGUGGAAUCCUGAAAUCUCGAAGCAUGCAAACAGAAUGUGAUUUCCAGUGCAUUUAGAGCUGUCAUGCCUUUGGGGCUAUGUCUGCUCCUUCUUCCCAGUGGUACAUGUUUUGAAGGGUGGGAUUCAUCCUAUGUAACUUCUGACAUAUGAACCCAAAGUAUCUACCUGACUUAGAGAUGUCUGAAGUUAUAUAUGUAGGUGUCCGUAGAUGAGAUGAAUUGUCCCUGUAUUCCAUCAGCUGAGCGGAAGGUGGCCAGCUCGUAUGGAGCCAUGUACAACAUAGGUUUCAACAUUUCAUCUGAUCAUGCUCACCCUUCGUGUUGCCAGUGAUUAAGGAGCAAUGUGAUUUCAAGACUAUGUUCACACUGAAGCUUUCCUUGUGAUGGCUGUUGUUUUCACAUGUUCUGUCAGGCCACUAAUAGAAAUGCUGCCCAGGAUUUCAUUGCAAACCAUCAACUCACAGCUGCAUUUCAGCAAUACAUUUCUGUGCAAGAAGUUCACUUCUGAACACCUGCAAAUAAAAAGUGACAUUGUUUGUCUCUUGUAAAAUUGGGAUGAUUUUAAAACACUCCAAAGGAUUUCUUAGUUGCCAGCUGGAAAUGUUAGUUACAUAUUGAAGCAGGGCAGAUCUGAGCAUAGAUCAGAGGUCAGAGCAUUUGUUGUACCUUGACAGCCUUGUAGUCAAGAAUCAUGUCCACCUUGUAUGUCUCAAUUUUUCAAUUUGUGAAAUAGGAAUCAGCCUUUUCCUCUCAGUUAAGUGCUUUGACUUUUACAAGUGAGAAAUGUUAAACAAACAGAUUCAAUCGGCUGCAGUCAUGGGAAUAUUUCCUUUAACUUCAGGGAGAUUUGGCUUAUGGCCUAUGUCAUAUUGUAUUGUACUGGUUCAAUUAGAAAAAGAAUAAUGAAUUAAAAGGUCAUAGCUCUUUAAAUUAAAGUGCAGGUAAAGGAUGGUAAAAUGUGGCGGGCUUUUCCUCCUUCACUGCCCUGAGCAUUUACUAUUAAGUACCAAUGGGAGCUCUUCAUCCAGCAAGUUCACUAAUCUCCUUUUAAUCUCAUUGAGUCCUGAACAUUUUCUGGAAAACAUUUUUCAGAACUAAUCUGCCCAGGCAGGGCGGGGGAAAUGUUAAAACACACAAAAAUCUGCGCAACAGGAAAUAAUGUUAGAAAGCUGUGAAAAUCAUUUAUCCUUUUGAAGCGUAAUGGUUUUUAAUUUUCUCAUGCCCUGAUCUCCCUGGCAACAAUUUAAAAGUGCAUAAGCAUUCAUGAAUCAAAGCUGUUCACGUCUGCAUUUUUAAUUAUGUGUCAUUGGAUUGAAACUUUCCCUUUGAUCUUUGCAUUUAAAGGGAUUUACAAUUUAAUGAUUACAAUCCCCUUCCCUCUCAAAGUCUAUGCUUGUUAUUGAGCAGUGUCACAAAGGAGUCCCUGUUGGACAGGGGGAAGAUAGUUCUGUGGAGGACGUUAUAAGCAGGUCUGAAACCUGCCUUAUGCUCUGACUCAUGGAGAAGAUUCUUACGUAGUGGGGCUUCCCCAUGCUGGUGACUCUAGGCCUUCUGCUGCUCUAGGCAAAACAUCUAAAAACAAAGGAAGAUAAAAAUAAAGAACAAAAAUAACCUGGUUGCCCAUUAAACAGUGCGAUGCUCUAGGCAGCUGCCUCUUGUGCCGAAGGUAAUGACUUCAGAGCCACAUAGCAUGGACAGCGUGACAAAUGGAGAUAAAAAUGCUCCUAGGUUGUAGCCAUGAGGGUAGCUGGAAGCGGUUGAUGGUUUUGAGGUGUAUGGAGCAGUUUGUCCUUGCCAGCAGAAAUCAAGCAAACAGAAGCACUUGAACACUUCAAAGUGCACACAAGCUAUUUCAUGGCGCCAGCUGGGAGGAUGAGCUCCGGGGAGGCUGGUUUCAGCGAGGCAGAAAGAAGGCCUGGUGGUAAAGUGCAGGUUGAGGGUAGGGCUGUCAGACUGCCUCCGUUUCGUUUUUAGUCCUGAAGAGAGAGCUGAGUGCUGCUGGUUUGAAGCGGGGUACAAGUGAGGAAGCCUGGGUAGGGUGAAAGCUGUGGUAGCUUUUCUGUGUAACACAGAGCUGCAGAGAAACAGGGAAUGAAAUCCCUAAACAAAUACAAGGUACAGAGACACUGUAGCUGUGAAUGCCAUAUACACAGUUACGAAGAGUGCAUGACUUUGGCGAAGUCACUUGACCUCUUCGUUUUCUCAUGGGGGAUCACAAAUGCCCAACUACAUCCUGUACGUGCACGGCAAGUUAACCCCUUCGCCACAAAAAGCACUGCGAUGCUCGCCGCUGGCACUAAAAGUUGUCAGCAGUUUCCCAUUAGAUGGGUGUAUAUGUGUGUGAUGAUGCAACGCAUAGCACAUGCUAGGUACUCUCUAAUGAGUCGCUCUUUUCAAAGCUUUUUGCUAGAUAUUUAAUUUUCUUGCUGAAUAACAGUUUAAAGGUCAUGCGGAUCAGUGACACAUGCAAAACAAAUGCAUGUUACUUUUGAUGUGCCUGUGGAAAAUUAAGGCCUUGCACGGACUGCUUUAUAUGCACAAUGUUAUUGUAUUUUCUUACAAAAAAAUCAAUAA